CACAAUCAAAGAAGAACAUGUACGACAAAUUCAAAAACAUUAACCUUUCACCAGACGGAAUAUGUUAUAACUAUUUUUGAGGGUUCAAUACUCUUUCUCGGCCUUAUCAAUUUCCACCAUUCGAUCUUCAGAAUUAUAUCAUCAUGAUAUUGAGGUUUUUAUUUCUGAUCCCAACACUUCCUCUUCUUUUAUGGUUGCGUAAAUCUUGUGCCAAUUCAUAUCUUAUAUCCUUCUCAUCUUACUCUUGGUACCUCCAUCUUCAAUUACAACUCUUCUUCUUCCUUCAUACUAUCAUCACAUUUCAU
RNAcentral lists this long non-coding RNA (305 nucleotides) under Brassica napus (rape). RNAcentral describes it as "long non-coding RNA (BNAP_LNC018498)". The record is from RNAcentral. Lineage: Eukaryota; Viridiplantae; Streptophyta; Magnoliopsida; Brassicales; Brassicaceae.